ACCAGGCGAUUGCGCAUCCUGGCUGGCUGUGCUGAUGCGGCCUCGGCCUCAGGGUACUGACCCACUGGCCCAGGUCCCCCACUGCUCACACCUGGAAUGUUCUACAGCCUGCAGUGCACCCAUUCUUGGGGUCAAGGGCCCCAAGUCAGGGCCGCAAGAGGGGGCAGAAGGGCCCAGACCACCCCAGGAAGAAGUGAGCUGAUUUCCUGGAGAUGCCCCACAGGAAGGUGGACCGGCUAGGAGCUGCUUUCCACUUCCCCAGCCCCUGCCCUCAUGGGGGGUGUGGUCAGGGGUCAGCCGGGCAGCCAAGUGAACAAUCAGUAGCCAGUGCGCUUCCCUUAGGAAGUGGAAUGUCCCUCACAGAUCCAGGUUGUGGAACCCCAAGCACCAUUAUGCUGACAGUCCCAGGUGGGAAAACGUGUGCCUUCCCAGGCACAGAGAACUCCAGACACGACGAGAGUGGGGGAAAGCGAAGUGUCCGUCCACAGGGUCCAGUGACACCCCCGGUGGCAUGUCAGACUCAGCACAUCACCGGACUGUUUAGAAGCACGUGGCAGCUCUGUGUGAACAAAUGCUAACCCGGCCCCACAGCGUGUUCCUGAGUGAAAACCAAAACUGCGGUGGCACGGACACUGGCCGUAUGGAUUCCGGCGCAGCACCCCAAAGGGAUAAUGAGGGACACUGGUGGCCUCUGGGGUGGGGAGGGCAGGAGCCCUGCUGUAAACUGUGUCCUUGAGUGCAGUUCAAAUUGUGCACCAAAAGUAUGUGUUAUCUAUUCAAAAGUAAUCAAUUUUCUUUAUGUUAAAUGUUUCAAAUCUUCCUGGAAAAAGGGAAUUCAAAACACCCAUUACUUUCACUUUCUCCACAAACCACAUUAAAAUCACAAUAAAGGGGUUUUUUCUUAAUAUUCAUUUUUGAGAGCCUGAGAGC
Long non-coding RNA from Suricata suricatta (meerkat), 930 nucleotides. Lineage: Eukaryota; Metazoa; Chordata; Mammalia; Carnivora; Herpestidae. The record is from Ensembl.